UGGGCCCGACGUCGCAUGCUCCCGGCCGCCAUGCGGCCGCGGGAAUUCGAUUCGUAUUACCGCGGCUGCUGGCACGGAGUUAGCCGAGCUUAUUCUCCCGGUACUGUCAUUAUCAUCCCGGGUAAAAGAGCUUUACAACCCUAAGGCCUUCAUCACUCACGCGGCAUUGCUGGAUCAGGCUUGCGCCCAUUGUCCAAUAUUCCCCACUGCUGCCUCCCGUAGGAGUCUGGGCCGUGUCUCAGUCCCAGUGUGGCUGAUCAUCCUCUCAGACCAGCUAAGGAUCGUCGGCUUGGUAGGCCUUUACCCCACCAACUACCUAAUCCUACGCGGGCUCAUCCCUGGCCGAUAAAUCUUUGGACUUACGUCGUCAUCCGGUAUUAGCAGUCAUUUCUAACUGUUAUUCCGAACCAAGGGGCAGAUUCCCACGCGUUACGCACCCGUGCGCCACUAAGGCCGAAGCCUUCGUUCGACUUGCAUGUGUUAGGCAUGCCGCCAGCGUUCGUUCUGAGCCAUGAUCAAACUCUAAUCACUAGUGAAUUCGCGGCCGCCUGCAGGUCGACCAUAUGGGAGAGCUCCCAAC
RNAcentral lists this ribosomal RNA (580 nucleotides) under uncultured Alphaproteobacteria bacterium. RNAcentral describes it as "partial 16S ribosomal RNA". The record is from RNAcentral. Lineage: Bacteria; Pseudomonadati; Pseudomonadota; Alphaproteobacteria.